Molecule: RNA transcript, 2389 nt
Organism: Magnolia sinica
Lineage: Eukaryota; Viridiplantae; Streptophyta; Magnoliopsida; Magnoliales; Magnoliaceae
Gene name: probable methyltransferase PMT11
Exons: 10
Source: RefSeq, a predicted model, not a curated record
UCACUUCUCUUCUUUAGUCCUCUCCCUUACACACAGACAGCAGAGAGAGAGAGAGAGAGAGAGAGAGAGAUGAAAGCCCUCAACAGCCGCGAAAUCCUGACCGCUCCUCUACUCGUAAAGAUCUCGGCCUUCGCUCUCACAUCCAUCGCCUUCUUCUACCUCGGCAAGCACUGGUCAGAAUCCGACGGCUACCAGCCUCUCCCCUUCUUCAGCAGCCGCCCAUACCAACCGUCCAUCUCCAUCUCUCCAAAUGCCAACAAGCAGUUCGACAUCUCCUCCCUCAUCUCCAACCAGUCCGACACUCCUCAGUCGUCCGAUUCGACUCUCCUCCCCCCUCCUCCCCCAGAUCGAUUCGGGAUCGUUGAUGAGAACGGCACGAUGACCAACAACUUCGAUGUCGGCAGCGUCGGCUCUGAUCCGAUCGAGAAUUUGGAUGAUGGAAAUUCGACAGCGGAGAUCGAAGGAGGCAGCAGCGAGGGUUCUAGGGUUAGGCUUGCAAGGUUCCAGCUUUGCAAUGAGAGUAUGUCGGAGUAUAUUCCUUGUUUGGAUAAUGUGGAGGCGAUCCGGAAGCUGAAAUCGACGGAGAAGGGGGAGAAGUACGAGCGGCAUUGCCCGGAAGAAGGGAAGGGUUUGGAUUGCUUGGUCCCACCGCCGAAGCGUUACCAGAUGCCGAUCCCGUGGCCCCAAAGCAGAGAUGAGGUAUGGUACAGCAAUGUACCACAUCCACGUUUGGUUGAAGAUAAAGGAGGUCAGAAUUGGAUUUCAAUAGAUAAAGACAAAUUUAAAUUCCCAGGUGGCGGAACCCAGUUUAUACAUGGAGCUGAUCAGUACUUGGAUCAGAUGUCUGAGAUGGUACCGGACAUUACAUUUGGUCAUCAUACAAGAGUUGUCUUGGAUGUUGGAUGUGGAGUAGCAAGCUUUGGUGCUUUUCUGGUUUUGCGGAAUGUGACUGUUUUAUCUGUAGCCCCGAAAGAUGUUCAUGAGAACCAGAUUCAAUUCGCUCUUGAACGUGGUGUUCCAGCUAUGGUGGCAGCUUUUGCAACACGUCGUCUGUUGUAUCCAAGCCAGGCUUUUGACUUGAUACAUUGUUCAAGGUGUCGAAUUAAUUGGACUCGCGAUGAUGGAAUUUUGCUUCUUGAGGUAAACAGGAUCCUUAGGGCGGGAGGGUACUUCGCUUGGGCAGCACAGCCAGUUUAUAAACACGAAGAGAGCCAAAUAGAAGCAUGGAAAGUGAUGGAGAACCUUACUGCUCGUAUUUGCUGGAAGCUUGUGAAGAAGGAGGGAUACAUUGCCAUAUGGCAGAAGCCUUUAAACAACAGCUGUUACCUCAGUCGUGAUUCUGGAUCUCAGCCGCCUCUAUGCGAUGCAGAUGAUGACCCAGACCGUGUUUGGUACGUUGAUCUGAAACCAUGCAUCACCCGCAUUCCUGAGAAGGGAUACAGAGCAAAUGUCACAACGUGGCCUGCACGCCUGCAUCAUCCACCAGACAGGCUGCAGACUGUAGAGAUGGAUGCAUACAUGGCAAAAAAGGAGCUCUUCAAAGCAGAAUCGAAGUUUUGGAAUGACAUAAUAGCAUCCUUUGCCCGCGCUUAUCAUUGGAGAGAAUUACAAUUACGGAAUGUUAUGGACAUGAGGGCUGUGUUUGGAGGAUUUGCAGCUGCAUUAAUUGAUUAUCAUUUCGAUGCCUGGGUGAUGAAUGUCGUUCCUACUAGUGGGCCCAACACCUUGCCUGUCAUAUAUGAUCGUGGGCUUAUUGGAGUUACCCAUGAUUGGUGUGAGCCGUUCGAUACAUAUCCAAGAACUUAUGAUCUAUUGCAUGCAUCAGGCCUCUUCUCCAUAGAGCGGAAAAGAUGUAAUAUCACUAGCAUCUUGCUUGAGAUGGAUCGGAUACUAAGACCUGGGGGGCACGCCUACAUCCGUGACUCUAUAUCAGUCAUUAGAGAAGUUAAGGAAAUCACAACGGCCAUGGGGUGGAGGACGUCCAUGCAUGAUACAUCUGAGGGCCCUUAUGCAAGCCGAAGGGUGUUAAGGUGUGAUAAGGAGCUUCUGCAUGCUUGAAUUCAGCAACUCCGAAAAGAAAAACCCCUCUUUUUUCUCUUUGCUUCUAAUGUGAGAAAGAAAGAACAAAGAAAUCAAGCAAAAAAAAGCACGAGGCAUCUUUGCAGAGUGUAUCAAUGGCAGUGCUGCCGAUCAGGUCAGGUUGCAUUGAGCCGAGUUGUGUUUGAGUUGGAAAUCCUCAACCUAGUCAUAGGUCGGUUUGGUCUUGGUUUGAGGCCUGAGGCAACUAGAUUCGGACCAUCUCUAUUAUAUACAGUGUGAGUAACAUUGGACAAUUUUACCCAUGCAAGGUUGUCAUGUUUAUCAGCCUACAGCUCAGAUUUUACCUGCU